This 72-nucleotide transfer RNA is filed under the name Camelus bactrianus (Bactrian camel). It matches the Rfam family "tRNA". From Rfam's summary of the family: Transfer RNA (tRNA) molecules are approximately 80 nucleotides in length. The record is from Rfam by way of RNAcentral. RNAcentral also lists the same sequence under 1 other name. Lineage: Eukaryota; Metazoa; Chordata; Mammalia; Artiodactyla; Camelidae.
GAGGGUAUAGCUCAGUGGUAGAGUAGGUGACUAGCAAGCAUAAAGUCCUGGAUUCAAUCCCCAGUACCUCCA